This 253-nucleotide ribosomal RNA is filed under the name uncultured bacterium. RNAcentral's name for it is "partial 16S ribosomal RNA". It matches the Rfam family "Bacterial small subunit ribosomal RNA", at positions 524 to 776 of the family's 1533-position model. The record is from RNAcentral.
UACGGAGGGUGCGAGCGUUGUCCGGAAUCACUGGGCGUAAAGGGCGCGUAGGCGGCGCGGGGAGUCAACGGUGAAAGCUCGGCGCUCAACGCCGAGUCGGCCGUCGAUACUCCCGUGCUCGAGCACUGUAGAGGCAGGUGGAAUUCCGGGUGUAGCGGUGGAAUGCGUAGAGAUCCGGAAGAACACCGGUGGCGAAGGCGGCCUGCUGGGCAGUAGCUGACGCUGAGGCGCGACAGCGUGGGGAGCGAACAGG